GACGACGCUGGCGGCGUGGAUUAGGCAUGCAAGUCGAACGGUAUCAUCCUUUCGGGGGUGAGAGAGUGGCGAACUGGUGAGUAACACGUAGGUUAUCUACCCUCAAGACGGGACAACCCAGGGAAACUUGGGCUAAUACCGGAUGUGAGCAACUUUUAGUUGUUUGAAAGGUGGCGUAAGCUGUCGCUUGGGGAUGAGCCUGCGUCCUAUUAGUUGGUUGGUGAGGUAACGGCUCACCUAGGCAAUGAUAGGUAGGCGGCCUUAACGGGUGGUCGCCCACACUGGGAUUGAGAUACGGCCCAGACUCCUACGGGAGGCAGCAGUCGAGAAUAGUCUACAAUGGUCGGAAGACUGAUAGUGCGACGCCGCGUGAACGAUGAAUCCCUUCGGGGUGUAAAGUUCUUUUAUAUGUGAGCAGUGCUUCUUAUAUUAACAGUAUGGGGAGAGAGAUAUUAGCAUAUGAAUAAGCAACGGCUAACUCCGUG
Molecule: ribosomal RNA, 485 nt
Filed under: uncultured bacterium
Lineage: Bacteria
Description: bacterial SSU rRNA
Rfam family: Bacterial small subunit ribosomal RNA
Source: RNAcentral